Molecule: non-coding RNA, 185 nt
Filed under: Candidatus Zymogenaceae bacterium
Lineage: Bacteria; Deltaproteobacteria; Candidatus Zymogeniales; Candidatus Zymogenaceae
Description: 6S RNA
Rfam family: 6S / SsrS RNA
About the family: E. coli 6S RNA was the first non coding RNA to be sequenced, but its function was unknown until recently. It consists of 184 nucleotides that fold into an extended hairpin structure with a large single-stranded internal bulge. The 6S RNA specifically associates with RNA polymerase holoenzyme containing the sigma70 specificity factor.
Source: RNAcentral
UGCCCCCUGCCGUGUUCGUGAUGGGGGGAUCUUUUUUGAGCCAACAGAUACAAAAAGGGGAGCCGUCUCUCGCCGCGGUGUGUAUGCCUUUCUCUGAAAGGAAACCUUAAACGGCAAAACGGUGCCCACCUGUAACAAACAGGUUCAAAUAAAACACCAACACACGGCACUGCUGCGGGGGGCAU